This is a long non-coding RNA of Hylaeus volcanicus, 946 nucleotides long. RefSeq lists it as uncharacterized. The record is from RefSeq and is a predicted model, not a curated record. The transcript has 3 exons. Lineage: Eukaryota; Metazoa; Arthropoda; Insecta; Hymenoptera; Colletidae.
CUAUCGGUUCGGUUGUCAUCUCGUAGGCGCAGAAAUGCCUCUUUAAUGCGGCAACCUUUGCUCAGAGACGACAGCAGCGCUGCAGUUGAACAACGCGAUAGCGGAGCAGCCUGGAGCAGCCACAUUGCCAGAAGCAAUAUUUUCUCGCGAUUCUUUUUCUAAAAUACUCUUUGUAUCAUGAUAGAUGACUCAUGAUCACUCAUGAUAAAUAAUUCCUUCAAAUUAUAAAAAUAAAAAUAGCACGAGAAAGGCAUUACGCUGAUGAAACCAUGUAUGCAUCGUACAUCAUUAAAAUAAAUGACGAUAUUUCGAUUUGAUCGUCAUAUUUGUGUAAACUCUGUACUGCGUAUCGUAUAAAUAAUUUCCGAAAAAUUAUUGUAAUUAAAAUUCUAGUAUAAAAAGCGUAUAUAAUUUAAAUAUGUCGUGUACAGACUGUUCGACUUAUUGUCAACCACCAAUAAUUCCUCCGACAAUUAUAGCAAAUCCUUCUACUAAUUCUUGUACAGUUUGUUUUUCUGCAACAUGUUCCCCAUAUGCUGUUCUCUCUAAUUUUCCUCGCGCUCCUUACUGUGGUUGUUCAUCUUACGUUUUGUAUUACGAUAAAUAUUCUCCAAUCACAACAUUACGCAAUGUUCGAAGUAAUUAUACUUGCCCGCCCUAUACAUCUAGCACAUACAGAUGUUAAUUUGAAUUCCCUAAAUGAUAUAUUGUAAUGAAGUAAAUUAUUCUUAUAUAAAGGGUCGAACACUUUUUGACAAUGAUACAAAGUAAUAUAAAAUUGUAAUGUAUUGUAUCAUCCUACUUAUGUAUAAAAUGAAUAAAAAUAUAUUUAUUAAUGAAUAUUUUAUUGUGGCAUACUGAAUAGGACAGAUACCAGAUUUUCUUGAAAUCAUUUUACUUUAAUAUAUAAUACACAUAACAUCUGUAAAAUACAUUAUUCUUCUAC